CUCCGUGCCAGCAGCCGCGGUAAUACGGAGGGUGCGAGCGUUAAUCGGAAUUACUGGGCGUAAAGCGCAUGCUAGGUGGUUUGUUAAGUCAGAUGUGAAAGCCCCGGGGCUCAACCUCGGAAUUGCAUUUUGAAACUGGCAGACUAGAGUACUGUAGAGGGGGUAGAAUUUCAGGUGUAGCGGUGAAAUGCGUAGAGAUCUGAAGGAAUACCGGUGGCGAAGGCCGGCCCCCUGGACAGAUACUGACACUCAGAUGCGAAAGCGUGGGGAGCCCAAACAGGAUUAGAUACCCCUGGUAG
RNAcentral lists this ribosomal RNA (299 nucleotides) under uncultured bacterium. Its description in RNAcentral is "partial 16S ribosomal RNA". It matches the Rfam family "Bacterial small subunit ribosomal RNA", at positions 501 to 793 of the family's 1533-position model. The record is from RNAcentral.